GGGGACGUGGCUCAGUGGUAGAGUGUAUACUUAGCAAGCACAAGGGCCUGGGUUUGAUCCCCAGCUUCAUGA
Molecule: transfer RNA, 72 nt
Filed under: Marmota monax (woodchuck)
Lineage: Eukaryota; Metazoa; Chordata; Mammalia; Rodentia; Sciuridae
Rfam family: tRNA
About the family: Transfer RNA (tRNA) molecules are approximately 80 nucleotides in length. Their secondary structure includes four short double-helical elements and three loops (D, anti-codon, and T loops).
Source: Rfam by way of RNAcentral